AUUGAACGCUGGCGGCAUGCCUUACACAUGCAAGUCGAAUGGCAGCACGGGUGCUUGCCCCUGGUGGCGAGUGGCGCACGGGUGAGUAAUACAUCGGAACAUGUCCUGUAGUGGGGGAUAGCCCGGCGAAAGCCGGAUUAAUACCGCAUACGAUCCACGGAUGAAAGCGGGGGACCUUCGGGCCUCGCGCUAUGGGGUUGGCCGAUGGCUGAUUAGCUAGUUGGUGGGGUAAAGGCCUACCAAGGCGACGAUCAGUAGCUGGUCUGAGAGGACGACCAGCCACACUGGGACUGAGACACGGCCCAGACUCCUACGGGAGGCAGCAGUGGGGAAUUUUGGACAAUGGGCGAAAGCCUGAUCCAGCAAUGCCGCGUGUGUGAAGAAGGCCUUCGGGUUGUAAAGCACUUUUGUCCGGAAAGAAGUCCUUGACUCUAAUACAGUCGGGGGAUGACGGUACCGAAAGAAUAAGCACCGGCUAACUACGUG
This 486-nucleotide ribosomal RNA is filed under the name uncultured bacterium. Its description in RNAcentral is "partial 16S ribosomal RNA". It matches the Rfam family "Bacterial small subunit ribosomal RNA", at positions 30 to 507 of the family's 1533-position model. The record is from RNAcentral.